GCGCAGCAGGCGCGAAUCUUCGGCAAUGGGGGAAACCCUGACCGAGCGACGCCGCGUGUGGGAUGAAGGCCCUUGGGUUGUAAACCACUGUCAGAGGGGAUGAAAUGCCGGAAAGUUAUCUCUCCGGUUUGACAUAGCCUCAGAGGAAGCACGGGCUAAGUUCGUGCCAGCAGCCGCGGUAAGACGAACUGUGCAAACGUUAUUCGGAAUCACUGGGCUUGAAGAGUGCGUAGGCGGUUUCGUAAGUAGGGUGUGAAAGCCCCCGGCUCAACCGGGGAAUUGCGUCCUAAACUGCGAGGCUGGAGUGAGGUAGGGGUGUGUGGAACUUCCAGUGGAGCGGUGAAAUGUGUUGAUAUUGGAAGGAACGCCGGUGGCGAAAGCGACACACUGGACCUUGUCUGACGCUGAGGCACGAAAGCCAGGGGAGCAAACGGGAUUAGAUACCCGGGUAGU
This 453-nucleotide ribosomal RNA is filed under the name uncultured organism. RNAcentral's name for it is "bacterial SSU rRNA". It matches the Rfam family "Bacterial small subunit ribosomal RNA", at positions 346 to 794 of the family's 1533-position model. The record is from RNAcentral.